Non-coding RNA from Anas platyrhynchos (mallard), 257 nucleotides. The record is from RefSeq and is a predicted model, not a curated record. NCBI's taxonomy places the organism in Eukaryota, Metazoa, Chordata, Aves, Anseriformes, Anatidae.
CCUAGGACGUGGCAGAUGUUGAUGUGACAGCAAGUGAAGAUGUUGCUGUGCCACCUGCCUUGGACACGGACGUAAAGGCCUUGCGCAAGAGAAGCCUGUCUGCAGCCCUCCAUGCCUAGGAGAAGACAUGAUGUGGACCCCCCGUGUCCUCACCCCCCCAGUGGCAUGAGGAGAUGAUCAGCCCUGGACGCACCGACCUGAUGUCAUGGGAGCCCUGGACCUUUUUCCUCUAAUGAUCAAUAAAGCCCUCCAGCAAA